UGGAUUUUGUAAGGCUAAGAG
RNAcentral lists this non-coding RNA (21 nucleotides) under Arabidopsis thaliana (thale cress). Lineage: Eukaryota; Viridiplantae; Streptophyta; Magnoliopsida; Brassicales; Brassicaceae. The record is from RNAcentral.